CUCCUGCUCAGGCAUGGGGGCCAAAGGGAAGGGCUCAGCCGCAGCCUUGAGGCACCCACUUAGCUGGCCACUGCGACCCACAGCCCUGGGGCACCUGGUGACCUGGGUACUGUGACCCACAGCCCCUGGGGCAGCUCAGGCCUAUACCACAGACAGUGGGCCCAGCUGGGGCACUUCUCCCUUCCAGGCCUGCUCCAUGCACCCUGUCCCCUAAGGGUCAUCUCCUCUGCAUGCCCCUGAUGCUGUGGGUCAGUUUCACUGUUGUCCUCAAUAGAUGCAGAGCCCCUAGCUGGUAGGGCCUGCCCCGGCCCUUGUCCUGGGUGGGUCUGUGUCCUGAUGAGAGAGGGUCCCCUUGUCUCUGGUUCCUGAGCUGCAUCCAGAAGCAAGCAGGCGCCCCUAGCACGUCACUUAACACUUGCAGCCCCCACCCUCACUGGCUGGUAAAGUGUGGACACACUGACUUCACCCUGGGAGCUUGGGCUGCCCUCAUGGGCCAGGGUGUUUAUUCACAGAGCAACAGAGUCAGCACAGGGCAGGGAACGCCCAGGCCUCAGCAUAUCCUGAGACCUGCAGCCUGUCCCAGCCUGGGCGGGGCAGGUGUCCGGUCCCUGGCUAGGGUCUGACCAAGUGCUGGAUGUCACGUGAGGAAGCGGGGCCUUGUCUGGGGUGGUCUACGGAUCACUGGUGACAGAUGCCGGGAG
RNAcentral lists this long non-coding RNA (701 nucleotides) under Homo sapiens (human). RNAcentral's name for it is "LHRI_LNC1582.1". The record is from RNAcentral. Lineage: Eukaryota; Metazoa; Chordata; Mammalia; Primates; Hominidae.